GCGGUUGUGGUGGAAUUGGUAGACACGCAAGCUUGAGGUGCUUGUGCCCGAUAAGGGCGUGGGAGUUCGAGUCUCCCCAUCCGCACCA
Molecule: transfer RNA, 88 nt
Filed under: Gallionellaceae bacterium CG1_02_56_997
Lineage: Bacteria; Pseudomonadati; Pseudomonadota; Betaproteobacteria; Nitrosomonadales; Gallionellaceae
Also listed under: 5 other names
Description: tRNA-Leu
Rfam family: tRNA
About the family: Transfer RNA (tRNA) molecules are approximately 80 nucleotides in length.
Source: RNAcentral